Non-coding RNA from Schizosaccharomyces pombe (fission yeast), 252 nucleotides. The record is from the annotation of a GenBank genome assembly. Lineage: Eukaryota; Fungi; Ascomycota; Schizosaccharomycetes; Schizosaccharomycetales; Schizosaccharomycetaceae.
ACAGGGGUAGCUCCAGGUACAACGCGCUGACGAGAAGAAUUGACGUGCUUAUUGGCACUUCCACUGCUCAUUACAUCGAUCUCUUCACGGCGAUAAGAGAAGGUAGAGUUCUGACCCCUAGCACCUGGUGGACGAUAAGCCCCAGCUGGCUUAACUGAAGGUUUUGCAGCCAACUUACUAGCCGAUGCAUGCGGUGUAGGCGGAGAAGGUAAGGAAGCAGAUGUAAGAGCAUUUUGCAACAAGGUAGGAUUU